GACCUCAAAUCAGGUAGGACUACCC
RNAcentral lists this non-coding RNA (25 nucleotides) under Mus musculus (house mouse). The record is from RNAcentral. RNAcentral also lists the same sequence under 3 other names. Lineage: Eukaryota; Metazoa; Chordata; Mammalia; Rodentia; Muridae.